GAGCCAGCGGACAAAGCAAACUCGGCAGAUUCAUCGAGGCGAGGGGCAAAUCAAAUGCACAAUCCCGUUCUGGGAUUGUAGAAGAUUGUCUAACGAGGCUGUCUAGUAGUAACUACUGAAGGAAAUACAUUAUUCUGCAUCUGCUCGAUUACUAAACAGAUGAGAAGCUGCAGUUAGGAGGGUUGGGAUAAAGAAUCAGAUCUGUGUCUGACCAUUUCUCACUUCACCAUGGGAGUUUAACUCUUUGCUUCACUGUGAGUGAAUCAAAGAUUAUACAGCAGAGUAGGUAUGAGCGAGCGAGGGAGGGAAGUGAGAGAAGGAAGGAGUUCAGGGACUUUAUUGCCAUCUGCAUCGGUGCAAGGGAGGUGAUGGUACAUUAGACAAUCUUGCUUACAGCAGCAUGGUAAGACACGUAGACUGAAACCGCCGACAUCAACACAGGUGGGUGACACAUACUCAAAUAGAAUGUACACAUCAAUUCUGCAAUGCGGGCGGGUUGCAGAACCAACUCGCGUAUUUAAUAAACAAAGACAUUAGGACAACAUUAGAAAACAAGUCUACACAGAGAAUGUUUCCACUAGUGGGAGAGUCUAGGACCAGAGGUCACAUCCUCGCAAUUAAAAGGGCGUUCCUUUAGGAAGGAGAUGAGGAGGAAUAUAGAAACAUAGACACAUAGACAAUAGGUGCAGGAGUAGAGGCCAUUCGGCCCUUCGAGCCUGCACCAUUCGCCAUUCAAUAUGAUCAUGGCUGAUCAUCCAACUCAGUAUCCUGUACCUGCCUUCUCUCCAUACCCCCUGAUCCCUUUAGCCACAAGGGCCACAUCUAACUCCCUCUUAAAUAUAGCCAAUGAACUGUGACAUCAACUACCUUCUGUGGCAGAGAAUUCCACAGAUUCACCAC
Leucoraja erinaceus (little skate) is the source of this 900-nucleotide long non-coding RNA. RefSeq lists it as uncharacterized. NCBI's taxonomy places the organism in Eukaryota, Metazoa, Chordata, Chondrichthyes, Rajiformes, Rajidae. The record is from RefSeq and is a predicted model, not a curated record. The transcript has 2 exons.